RNAcentral lists this ribosomal RNA (524 nucleotides) under uncultured bacterium. Its description in RNAcentral is "partial 16S ribosomal RNA". It matches the Rfam family "Bacterial small subunit ribosomal RNA", at positions 28 to 523 of the family's 1533-position model. The record is from RNAcentral.
GACGAACGCUGGCGGCGUGCUUAACACAUGCAAGUCGAACGGACAGACAGAGAGCUUGCUCUCUUGAAGUUAGUGGCGAACGGGUGAGUAACGCGUAAUCAACCUGCCCUUCAGAGGGGGAUAACAACGGGAAACCGUUGCUAAUACCGCGUACGAUUCAUGAACGGCAUCGUUUAUGAAUGAAAGGUGGCCUCUAUGUAUAAGCUAUCGCUGAAGGAGGGGACUGGGUCUGAUUAGCUAGUUGGAGGGGUAACGGCCCACCAAGGCAAUGAUCAGUAGCCGGUCUGGGAGGAUGAACGGCCACAUUGGGACUGAGACACGGCCCAAACUCCUACGGGAGGCAGCAGUGGGGAAUCUUCCGCAAUGGACGAAAGUCUGACGGAGCAACGCCGCGUGAGUGAUGAAGGUCUUCGGAUUGUAAAGCUCUGUUAAUCGGGACGAAAGAGUUCUGCGUGAAUAAUGCAGAAAAGUGACGGUACCGGAAUAGAAAGCCACGGCUAACUACGUGCCAGCCGCCGCCGUAA